Pyrenochaeta sp. DS3sAY3a is the source of this 90-nucleotide non-coding RNA. The record is from the annotation of a GenBank genome assembly. NCBI's taxonomy places the organism in Eukaryota, Fungi, Ascomycota, Dothideomycetes, Pleosporales, Cucurbitariaceae.
GCGUCGCUGGCCCAGUGGUACGGCGCCGCCCUCCCAUCGUCCAAAGCGAAUGAGAGGCGGAGAUCACGGGUUCAAUCCCCGUGCGGCGCA